Molecule: small RNA, 538 nt
Filed under: Pan troglodytes (chimpanzee)
Lineage: Eukaryota; Metazoa; Chordata; Mammalia; Primates; Hominidae
Description: retained intron
Source: RNAcentral
CUGCGGCUUGGCCCGUUAGAGGCGGCUUGGGUCCACGGAACGCGGGCGGAUCUUCUCCGGCCAUGAGGAAGCCAGCCGCUGGCUUCCUUCCCUCACUCCUGAAGGUGCUGCUCCUGCCUCUGGCACCUGCCGCAGCCCAGGAUUCGACUCAGGCCUCCACUCCAGGCAGCCCUCUCUCUCCCACCGAAUACGAACGCUUCUUCGCACUGCUGACUCCAACCUGGAAGGCAGAGACUACCUGCCGUCUCCGUGCAACCCACGGCUGCCGGAAUCCCACACUCGUCCAGCUGGACCAAUAUGAAAACCACGGCUUAGUGCCCGAUGGUGAGGGCCAGACUGGGGGGAAACCGAGGCAUCCAGAGUGUUCACCCAAACCUCAGGGCAAAAACCCCUGUGCUCAUGUGAGGCGGGGAAGGGCAUGGCUGGCACCACACCAUGAGCUCGUACUCUCCACCCUCCCCAUGGCGUGGAGUCCAUUGCCCACAGCCCCACCCCAAGCUCCCCACGGGUUCAUCUUCUCCACCCCUGCCCUUUCUCA